Molecule: ribosomal RNA, 1610 nt
Filed under: Phytophthora abietivora
Lineage: Eukaryota; Oomycota; Peronosporomycetes; Peronosporales; Peronosporaceae
Description: partial large subunit ribosomal RNA
Rfam family: Eukaryotic large subunit ribosomal RNA
Source: RNAcentral
GAAACUAACAAGGAUUCCCCUAGUAACGGCGAGUGAAGCGGGAAGAGCUCAAGCUUAAAAUCUCCGUGCAAGUUUUGCGCGGCGAAUUGUAGUCUAUAGAGGCGUGGUCAGCGUGGGCGCUUGGGGCAAGUUCCUUGGAAGAGGACAGCAUGGAGGGUGAUACUCCCGUUCAUCCCUGAGUGGCUCGUGCGUACGACCCGUGUUCUUUGAGUCGCGUUGUUUGGGAAUGCAGCGCAAAGUAGGUGGUAAAUUCCAUCUAAAGCUAAAUAUUGGUGCGAGACCGAUAGCGAACAAGUACCGUGAGGGAAAGAUGAAAAGAACUUUGAAAAGAGAGUUAAAGAGUACCUGAAACUGCUGAAAGGGAACCGAAUCGUUUCCAGUGUCUAUAAUCCGUGGCAUAUUUCAUUGGCGAGUGUGCGCGUGCGUGUGCUGUGGCAGCGGCCUUUUUGGUUGCGCUCGGUGCGUGUGCUGUGUGUGCUUGCUGGUGCCCUGUGCUGCGGUGGGACGUCAAGGUCAGUUCGUAUGCUGCGGGAAAUGGCUGCCGAGGAGGUAGGGCUUACGCUCCGCGUUUGUCUGUUAUAUCUUGGUGGACGAGUCGUCGCGGUUGGGACUGAGGUGCCUACAACGUGCUUUUGAGUAGGUCUGUGUCUCCGUGUGCGCCGUGUGCGGAUAGCUUGCUAUGCGUGUGUGGUUGUGUGUGGAUUGAUGCGGGCUUUAACUUGUCGCCGUUCGGGACGUUGACGAAAUGGAGCGAUCCGACCCGUCUUGAAACACGGACCAAGGAGUCUAACAUGUGUGCAAGUGUUAGGGUGUGGAAACCCCAGCGCGAAAUGAAAGUGAAGGGCAGCGCAAGUUGUCUGAGGUAGGAAACGUUGCGGGCUUCGGUCUGCGGCGUGGCACUAUCGACCGAUCAUGAACCUUCGUGGUGAAAGAUUUGAGUUUGAGCACAUAUGUUGGUACCCGAAAGAUGGUGAACUAUGCCUGAGUAGGGUGAAGCCAGGGGAAACUCUGGUGGAAGCUCGUAGCGAUUCUGACGUGCAAAUCGAUCGUCAAACUUGGGUAUAGGGGCGAAAGACUAAUCGAACCAUCUAGUAGCUGGUUCCCUCCGAAAUUUCCCUCAGGAUAGCAGCAACUUAUUUACGAUAGUUUUAUGAGGUAAAGCGAAUGAUUAGAGGAUUCGGGGAAGAAACUUCCUCGACCUAUUCUCAAACUUUAAAUCUGUAAGACCUGCAGGUUUCUUAAUUGAACUUGUGGAUGUGAAUAUCAAGUUGCUAGUGGGCCAUACGGGGUAAGCUCGUCUGGCGAUGCGGGAUGAACCGAACGCAAAGUUAAAGUGCCAAAAUGCCCGCUCACCUAGAUACCAUAAAAGGUGUUGGUUCAUUUAGACAGCAGGACGGUGGCCAUGGAAGUCGGAAUCCGCUAAGGAGUGUGUAACAACUCACCUGCCGAAUGAACUAGCCCUGAAAAUGGAUGGCGCUAAAGCGGGCUACUUAUACUUUGCCGUUAGCGCGAUAGCAUAAUUAAUGUACGCGUUAAUGAGUAGGAGGGCGUGAGGGUCGUGAAGAAGCUCGUGGCGUGAGCCUGAGUGAAACGGCCUUUAGUGCAGAUCU